Molecule: ribosomal RNA, 499 nt
Filed under: uncultured bacterium
Lineage: Bacteria
Description: bacterial SSU rRNA
Rfam family: Bacterial small subunit ribosomal RNA
Source: RNAcentral
GGCUCAGGAUGAAUGCUGGCGGCGUGCCUAAUACAUGCAAGUCGAGCGGCAGCGAGGAUCUCAUCCUGUUCUUGAAGCUUUCGAGAAUAGAAUGAGAUCUGUCGGCGAGCGGCGGACGGCUGAGUAACGCAUGGGAACGCACCCCAAACUGAGGGAUAACCAGUCGAAAGAUUGGCUAAUACCGCAUGUGAUCUUAGGAUUAAAGCCUUCGGGCGGUUUUGGGAGCGGCCUGUGUACGAUUAGAUAGUUGGUGAGGUAAUGGCUCACCAAGUCGACGAUCGUUAGAUGGUUUGAGAGGAUGAUCAUCCAGACUGGGACUGAGACACGGCCCAGACUCCUACGGGAGGCAGCAGUAGGGAAUCUUUCACAAUGGGCGAAAGCCUGAUGGAGCAACGCCGCGUGCAGGACGAAGGCCUUCGGGUUGUAAACUGCUUUUAUAAGCGAGGAAUAUGACGGUAACUUAUGAAUAAGGAUCGGCUAACUACGUGCCAGCAGCGGC